Molecule: transfer RNA, 73 nt
Filed under: Varanus glauerti
Lineage: Eukaryota; Metazoa; Chordata; Lepidosauria; Squamata; Varanidae
Description: tRNA-Leu
Rfam family: tRNA
About the family: Transfer RNA (tRNA) molecules are approximately 80 nucleotides in length.
Source: RNAcentral
AUUAGGGUAGCUAACCAGGCACAUGCAAAAGACUUAAAAUCUUAUUACGAAGGUUCAAAUCCUUCCCCUAACC